GACGAACGCUGGCGGCGUGCUUAACACAUGCAGGUCGAACGGAAAGGCCCCCUUGUGGGGUACUCGAGUGGCGAACGGGUGAGUAACACGUGAGUAACCUACCCUUGACUUUGGGAUAACUUCAGGAAACUGGGGCUAAUACCGGAUAGGAGCUCCUGCUGCAUGGUGGGGGUUGGAAAGUUUCGGCGGUUGGGGAUGGACUCGCGGCUUAUCAGCUUGUUGGUGGGGUAGUGGCUCACCAAGGCUUUGACGGGUAGCCGGCCUGAGAGGGUGACCGGCCACAUUGGGACUGAGAUACGGCCCAGACUCCUACGGGAGGCAGCAGUGGGGAAUAUUGCACAAUGGGCGGAAGCCUGAUGCAGCAACACCGCGUGCGGGAUGACGGCCUUCGGGUUGUAAACCGCUUUCGCCUGUGACGAAGCGUGAGUGACGGUAAUGGGUAAAGAAGCACCGGCUAACUACGUG
RNAcentral lists this ribosomal RNA (465 nucleotides) under uncultured bacterium. RNAcentral's name for it is "partial 16S ribosomal RNA". It matches the Rfam family "Bacterial small subunit ribosomal RNA", at positions 28 to 507 of the family's 1533-position model. The record is from RNAcentral.